GAUUUUCUGAUAUGAGACAGCAAAAUAUGAAAACCGGUCCAGAAUCAGAAUCAUAAAAUUGUUAAUCCUAAAAUAGUUAUAAAAGGCAUUACAGUAGUGUUUUGAAGUAUAUGGUAUACAAAUUAAAAAAAAUAUUUGUCAUGAUAUUAAUUAAGUGGAAACAAUAAAAAAAUCUAUUUUUUUUUUAAUAAAUUCCUGUGCUCGAGCGCUUGAGUUUAAGCUGAGACUACUAUAAC
Molecule: long non-coding RNA, 236 nt
Filed under: Mytilus galloprovincialis (Mediterranean mussel)
Lineage: Eukaryota; Metazoa; Mollusca; Bivalvia; Mytilida; Mytilidae
Source: RNAcentral